This 240-nucleotide ribosomal RNA is filed under the name uncultured bacterium. Its description in RNAcentral is "partial 16S ribosomal RNA". It matches the Rfam family "Bacterial small subunit ribosomal RNA", at positions 105 to 334 of the family's 1533-position model. The record is from RNAcentral.
CCGGGGGUACGGGAGGUAAGUAGUUCUGGGUAAACGGCUCGAUGGAGGGGGAGGAAUACUGGAAACGGUAGCUAAUACCGCAUAACGUCGCAAGACCAAAGAGGGGGACCUUCGGGCCUCUUGCCAUCGGAUGUGCCCAGAUGGGAUUAGCUAGUAGGUGGGGUAACGGCUCACCUAGGCGACGAUCCCUAGCUGGUCUGAGAGGAUGACCAGCCACACUGGAACUGAGACACGGUCCAG